CCAGAGGUGCCGGAGUGGACAAUCGGAAGAGUCUGUAAAACUCUCGCCGCAAGGCUGCGGAGGUUCGAAUCCUCCCCUCUGGA
This 83-nucleotide transfer RNA is filed under the name Candidatus Roizmanbacteria bacterium CG_4_10_14_0_8_um_filter_35_28. RNAcentral describes it as "tRNA-Tyr". It matches the Rfam family "tRNA". Rfam says of the family: Transfer RNA (tRNA) molecules are approximately 80 nucleotides in length. Their secondary structure includes four short double-helical elements and three loops (D, anti-codon, and T loops). Further hydrogen bonds mediate the characteristic L-shaped molecular structure. tRNAs have two regions of fundamental functional importance: the anti-codon, which is responsible for specific mRNA codon recognition, and the 3' end, to which the tRNAs corresponding amino acid is attached (by aminoacyl-tRNA synthetases). tRNAs cope with the degeneracy of the genetic code in two manners: having more than one tRNA (with a specific anti-codon) for a particular amino acid; and 'wobble' base-pairing, i.e. permitting non-standard base-pairing at the 3rd anti-codon position. RNAcentral also lists the same sequence under 4 other names. The record is from RNAcentral. Lineage: Bacteria; Candidatus Roizmaniibacteriota.